UCGUUCCAAGGCGCAGGUGUACAUCUGUUAUGGAUCACAGGCCCGGUCUAGGAGAGCACUUGACAUCGCUAGAACUACUCAUGUGCUUAAGAGCUGGAAUAUCAUGCAUCCUGUGAAGAUCACAACAGCUGCUCAGUCCCAAGACUCAAGGAUGCAGAGAGCCGGCUCUGUCAAAGCGCAGGAG
Molecule: long non-coding RNA, 184 nt
Organism: Nothoprocta perdicaria
Lineage: Eukaryota; Metazoa; Chordata; Aves; Tinamiformes; Tinamidae
Exons: 3
Source: RefSeq, a predicted model, not a curated record